This is a long non-coding RNA of Homo sapiens (human), 1871 nucleotides long. Ensembl annotates it as long intergenic non-protein coding RNA 320. The record is from Ensembl. Lineage: Eukaryota; Metazoa; Chordata; Mammalia; Primates; Hominidae.
AGAAGGAUAACAUGACAUAGCAGGAAUAAUACUGCCUUUUCUUUCUGGCAUGGAUCAAGAGAAAAGAAAAUACAAGAAAACAGACAGAAGAUCCUAUCUGCGACAAUUAAGAGCACUCUAAGAGGAAAACACAUCCCACCACAGCAAGGUACUUCUAUGGAAGGGUGAGCCCUCACAGAUGGAGCAAUGGGGCGCGCACACCUGAACAAGGGAGGGGAAGGAGUUCUUAUCCCUGAUGCAUGUGACCCCUGCUGCUGUGUCCUUCCCCUAUUGGCUAAGGCUUCUGACAGCUUUGGAGAUUGUGACAUUGGAAUAAAGGAAAAACGUACAGGACUCAUGAAGCGCUGAAAUGUUCACAAAUAUCAAGCAAAAGUCAAUGAAAUUUAUUUUGAGCUAUUUACAUCAUUUAAUAAUUGAGCAAGGUAUACUCCUAUGAACAAAAUUUGGAGCAUGUUUGUCUCUCUCUGCCUGGCGUCUUCAGAAUUUGGAAACUAGUUAGUCAUGGAAAUUUAUUUUGAGCUAUUUACAGCAUUUAAUAAUUGAGCAAGGUAUACUCCUAUGAACAAAAUUUGGAGCAUGUUUGUCUCUCUCUGUCUGCCUGGCAUCUACAGAAUUUGGAAACUAGUUUCGUUCCCAGAUUUCCUAAACUUUCCAGAGAAAAUGGUCUUCUCCCUGGCUCAGCAAGAAGAUGAACUUUAAACACUGAGAAACUGGUCAUCUCCCUGGCUCAACCAGAAGAUGAACUUUAAACACUACUCUCAAUGACUUGAUGUUCCCAUCACUACUCCUGUCAUAAAGGGAGGGGACUCAGAUAUUGAGAAUUUUAUGAUAGUGUGAACUGUCUGGUAUGUCAUUUAAGUAAGCCCGUUGCUGAAAUAUUUUCCAUGUUAUUAGAAAGAGCUGAAGAGAGGGAUUGAGAUGGCUUCUUUAUUUUUUGUCUUUUGGGAAUUAAAGGAACCUGGUUCAACAAGGGCCUACACCUAAGUCUCUUGUUGUACCAGAGUACAAUUUAGGACUGCUCCUGAGGAAGGAAUUAGCUAGAAAUCUAGAGAGUAAGGGUAACAGAUUUACAUAGAAUAACAGCCUCAGUAUUUUUGGUUCCUCUCCAGUAAAGAUCACAAAGAAUAUUGCUAAAUCGCUAAAACACCUUUGCAAUAACGUAAGGGCUUACAACUAUAUACCAAUGUAGCUCAGUUACUAAACUGGAGUAAACUAAUUUCUCUUGUGUAGAAAAAUUGGUUGGCUGUGGUUUUAUAGCAGAUCUGCAAUUAUUAAUAGUUAUGCCAAUAAUCGUUUAACAGUGCAUAUGUUAAUAUAUAUGGAAAGACAAUGUGUAUAGACAGAUGUGUAAAAUUGAAAAAUAAACAUAUAACAAGAGAGAAACAUCUAUCGAACAGACAAUAUACAUACACAUCAAACACAACAGCAGUUUUAGUGACCAUAAUAUUUAUUUCUCAUUUUUACAUUGCUUACUUUAGUGACAACUGAAAAUGACAGUUGGCAAUGCAGCUAACAGUUUCAAUAAAAGUAUAAAACAAAAGACUGUGUACAAAGCACCUGUCUUUCCGCUUUUGUAAUCUUCCGUUGGAAAAAAUUUACACACCUAAGUAACCAUCUGUUUUCUUCAAGAAAAAAUCAUUCUUAUUUCUCUCUCUCAUCUUGAAAACAGCUGUCAGCCAGGAGGGCAGAGCUGAAAUUUAUUGCCACAUCACAUGAAGCAUAGAACAGACUCCACUACUCCUUGAGAUUCAAAACUUUGCCUCUCACAAAGUUACCUUUUAUUUUCCUCUUGUUUGUCACUCAUCUCCCCUAGUGUGCUCUUUUUAUUUCUUUUACUAUUAAUAAUAAAAUCUGUGGAUGACUGUAUUAUU